RNAcentral lists this ribosomal RNA (497 nucleotides) under uncultured bacterium. RNAcentral's name for it is "partial 16S ribosomal RNA". It matches the Rfam family "Bacterial small subunit ribosomal RNA", at positions 28 to 507 of the family's 1533-position model. The record is from RNAcentral.
GAUGAACGCUGGCGGCGUGCCUAAUACAUGCAAGUCGAGCGAACAGACGAGGAGCUUGCUCCUCUGACGUUAGCGGCGGACGGGUGAGUAACACGUGUAUAACCUACCUAUAAGACUGGGAUAACUUCGGGAAACCGGAGCUAAUACCGGAUAAUAUAUUGAACCGCAUGGUUCAAUAGUGAAAGACGGUUUUGCUGUCACUUAUAGAUGUAUCCGCGCCGCAUUAGCUAGUUGGUAAGGUAACGGCUUACCAAGGCAACGAUGCGUAGCCGACCUGAGAGGGUGAUCGGCCACACUGGAACUGAGACACGGUCCAGACUCCUACGGGAGGCAGCAGUAGGAAAUCUUCCGCAAUGGGCGAAAGCCUGACGGAGCAACGCCGCGUGAGUGAUGAAGGUCUUCGGAUCGUAAAACUCUGUUAUUAGGGAAGAACAAAUGUGUAAGUAACUAUGCACGUCUUGACGGUACCUAAUCAGAAAGCCACGGCUAACUACGUG